GACGAACGCUGGCGGCGUGCUUAACACAUGCAAGUCGAACGGAAAGGCCCUGCUUUUGUGGGGUGCUCGAGUGGCGAACGGGUGAGUAACACGUGAGUAACCUGCCCUUGACUUUGGGAUAACUUCAGGAAACUGGGGCUAAUACCGGAUAGGAGCUCCUGCUGCAUGGUGGGGGUUGGAAAGUUUCGGCGGUUGGGGAUGGACUCGCGGCUUAUCAGCUUGUUGGUGGGGUAGUGGCUUACCAAGGCUUUGACGGGUAGCCGGCCUGGGAGGGUGACCGGGGCCAUUGGGGAUAGGGAAGGGGCCAAGACGCACAGGGGGGGAAGGGGGGGGAAAAUUGGCAAGAGGGGCGGAGGGCUGAAGGAGAACCCCCGGGGGGGGAAAGACGGCUUUGGGGGGGUAACCCCUUUUCGCGUGGGACGAAGCGUGGGGGAGGGAAAUGGUAAAAGAAGCACGGGCAAAUAAGUG
RNAcentral lists this ribosomal RNA (468 nucleotides) under uncultured bacterium. RNAcentral describes it as "partial 16S ribosomal RNA". It matches the Rfam family "Bacterial small subunit ribosomal RNA", at positions 28 to 507 of the family's 1533-position model. The record is from RNAcentral.